CAAUGGUCGUUGGGAAAACACACUCUGCAUACAGCAUGGAUAUCCACCUCACCAAGCAGCAGCAGCAGCCGCCGCCUGGAGAAGGGCAAGGAUGGAGAUAGGAAGAAGAGCUGGCCUCAGAGGCUGUGUUGAGGACUCCCCGACUGCUGGCUCUGGGGAACUUCAAAAUCUAUGCCGAGGCAACUGGCUCUGAGGUGGCUCAAGACUGGAUUCUUUUGAUGGGGUUACACUCCCUCUGAAGGAGCAGUGUAAAAAAGAAAAGAAAACUACACACACCAUCAUCAUUCUGCAUGCAUGGUUUUGAAGGAGCUGCUAUUAUUUCUACCAAUUGCUUCUGCAAUAAGCCCUACUCAUCCACCAAACAUUUUAGAAACAGGGGUUGCCACUAGCAGUUCUCUCCUCCUCCAAUUUCAGAUAUGGGACACUGGAAGGUCUGGCUCUAGCAAUUCAUGGGGAGUGCAUACAAA
This is a long non-coding RNA of Podarcis raffonei (Aeolian wall lizard), 467 nucleotides long. RefSeq lists it as uncharacterized. The record is from RefSeq and is a predicted model, not a curated record. Lineage: Eukaryota; Metazoa; Chordata; Lepidosauria; Squamata; Lacertidae. The transcript is spliced from 3 exons.